This 407-nucleotide ribosomal RNA is filed under the name uncultured bacterium. Its description in RNAcentral is "partial 16S ribosomal RNA". It matches the Rfam family "Bacterial small subunit ribosomal RNA", at positions 28 to 526 of the family's 1533-position model. The record is from RNAcentral.
GACGAACGCUGGCGGCGUGCCUAAUACAUGCAAGUAGGACGCAGUUGCGAACGGGUGAGUAACGCGUAGGUAACUGCCUAUUAGAGGGGGAUAACUAUUGGAAACGAUAGCUAAUACCGCAUACUAGUAGAUGGACCUGCGUUGUAUUAGCUAGUAGGUAGGGGAAUGGCCUACCUAGGCGACGAGACAUAGCCGCCCUGAGAGGGUGAUCGGACAAACGGGGACUGAGAAAAGGGCCCGACUCCUACGGGAGGCAGCAGUAGGGGAUCUUGGGCAAUGGGGGGCAACCUGACCGAGAAACGCCGCGUGAGUGAAGAAGGUUUUCGGAUCGUAAAGCGCUGUUGUGAAGGAAGCGGUACUUAACCAGAAAGGGACGGCUAACUACGUGCCAGCAGCCGCGGUAAUAC